Molecule: ribosomal RNA, 497 nt
Filed under: uncultured bacterium
Lineage: Bacteria
Description: partial 16S ribosomal RNA
Rfam family: Bacterial small subunit ribosomal RNA
Source: RNAcentral
GAUGAACGCUGGCGGCGUGCCUAAUACAUGCAAGUCGAGCGAACAGACGAGGAGCUUGCUCCUCUGACGUUAGCGGCGGACGGGUGAGUAACACGUGGAUAACCUACCUAUAAGACUGGGAUAACUUCGGGAAACCGGAGCUAAUACCGGAUAAUAUAUUGAACCGCAUGGUUCAAUAGUGAAAGACGGUUUUGCUGUCACUUAUAGCUGGAUCCGCGCCGCAUUAGCUAGUUGGUAAGGUAACGGCUUACCAAGGCAACGAUGCGUAGCCGACCUGAGAGGGUGAUCGGCCACACUGGAACUGAGACACGGUCCAGACUCCUACGGGAGGCAGCAGUAGGGAAUCUUCCGCAAAGGGCGAAAGCCUGACGGAGCAACGCCGCGUGAGUGAUGAAGGUCUUCGGAUCGUAAAGCUCUGUUAUUAGGGAAGAACAAAUGUGUAAGUAACUAUGCACGUCUUGACGGUACCUAAUCAGAAAGCCACGGCUAACUACGUG